AUUUACAAUUUUGAAAGAAGAGCAAAAUUCCAUUGUCAAUUCUAUUGUAAAUGUGUCUCUGUUCUUUAUAGAUAAGGUCCACAGUCUCACCACCAUUAGAGAAGACUUCAAUCAAAACAAGUUGAGUUGAAGACCUCAGGAGGGAUGAGAACAUUUCUGAAGGAGUCCUUAAGAAUUUGGAAUCACCAAUGUCUUGCAGUUAUUUGGUGGAUGUUCCGAUGUCUGACAGGUGGCUUUGUGGGAUAAAUAAAAUUUUAAAUGGGAAAUGCAGGUUAUACAUUUCCAAAAAUAUUUUUGUGUAAAAGAUUAACAUACAGAAGAUGAAUAAAGAGAAUUCUUGUAGUGUUAAUGUGGUUAAUGACUUGAUUUAUCAGAUUCUUUCAAUGCAUCACUGUUCAUCUGAGACCACUGUACUUAAAAUACCCCUGAGUUAAAUGCCUGCAUGAGGUGCAAUAUUAAUGCAAUCAGCCUUUAGUUCUAUGGUAUAACCCAUAGAAAUAUAAAAAAGUGGUAAAAUGGCAGUUAGUUGUAACGGGGUGUGCUGCUGCGACCUGGAUUAUUUUUUUGU
Molecule: long non-coding RNA, 568 nt
Organism: Myxocyprinus asiaticus (Chinese sucker)
Lineage: Eukaryota; Metazoa; Chordata; Actinopteri; Cypriniformes; Catostomidae
Exons: 4
Source: RefSeq, a predicted model, not a curated record